Molecule: transfer RNA, 63 nt
Filed under: Pseudoniphargus unisexualis
Lineage: Eukaryota; Metazoa; Arthropoda; Malacostraca; Amphipoda; Allocrangonyctidae
Description: tRNA-Leu
Source: RNAcentral
GUCACUUAGGCGGAUUAAGCGCGUUAGGUUUAGGGCCUAGAUUUGGUUUAUUAUCAAGUGAUA